RNAcentral lists this ribosomal RNA (497 nucleotides) under uncultured bacterium. RNAcentral describes it as "partial 16S ribosomal RNA". It matches the Rfam family "Bacterial small subunit ribosomal RNA", at positions 28 to 507 of the family's 1533-position model. The record is from RNAcentral.
GAUGAACGCUGGCGGCGUGCCUAAUACAUGCAAGUCGAGCGAACGGACGAGAAGCUUGCUUCUCUGAUGUUAGCGGCGGACGGGUGAGUAACACGUGGAUAACCUACCUAUAAGACUGGGAUAACUUCGGGAAACCGUAGCUAAUACCGGAUAAUAUUUUGAACCGCAUGGUUCAAAAGUGAAAGACGGUCUUGCUGUCACUUAUAGAUGGAUCCGCGCUGCAUUAGCUAGUUGGUAAGGUAACGGCUUACCAAGGCAACGAUGCAUAGCCGACCUGAGAGGGUGAUCGGCCACACUGGAACUGAGACACGGUCCAGACUCCUACGGGAGGCAGCAGUAGGGAAUCUUCCGCAAAGGGCGAAAGCCUGACGGAGCAACGCCGCGUGAGUGAUGAAGGUCUUCGGAUCGUAAAACUCUGUUAUUAGGGAAGAACAUAUGUGUAAGUAACUGUGCACAUCUUGACAGUACCUAAUCAGAAAGCCACGGCUAACUACGUG